AUUGAACGCUGGCGGCAGGCCUAACACAUGCAAGUCGAGCGGAUGAAGGGAGCUUGCUCCUGGAUUCAGCGGCGGACGGGUGAGUAAUGCCUAGGAAUCUGCCUGGUAGUGGGGGAUAACGUCCGGAAACGGGCGCUAAUACCGCAUCCGUCCUGAGGGAGAAAGUGGGGGAUCUUCGGACCUCACGCUAUCAGAUGAGCCUAGGUCGGAUUAGCUAGUUGGUGGGGUAAAGGCCUACCAAGGCGACGAUCCGUAACUGGUCUGAGAGGAUGAUCAGUCACACUGGAACUGAGACACGGUCCAGACUCCUACGGGAGGCAGCAGUAGGGAAUAUUGGACAAUGGGCGAAAGCCUGAUCCAGCCAUGCCGCGUGUGUGAAGAAGGUCUUCGGACUGUAAAGCACUUUAAGUUGGGAGGAAGGGCAGUAAGUGAAUACCUUGCUGUUUUGACGUUACCAACAGAAUAAGCACCGGCUAACUUCGUG
Molecule: ribosomal RNA, 484 nt
Filed under: uncultured bacterium
Lineage: Bacteria
Description: partial 16S ribosomal RNA
Rfam family: Bacterial small subunit ribosomal RNA
Source: RNAcentral